UGUGCUCCCUCUCCAACAUCUCUGAAACUUUCCUGUCUGCUCCCUGUUCUCAGCAGCUCAGGUUCUCCACUCUCAGACUCCUACAGACUUCAAGUGACUUUCUCACUCCCUUCUACUUGCAUACAGUUUCCAUGAGCAUGCCAGACUCAGCUGCUCCCUGGGAAGUAGGUCUCUUCAGUUGCCAGAUAUGUAUCUGAGUUAAUCCUUCUCCUGCAAGGCACAUAACAUGCAAAAUAAGAAGACACAAAGAUACCAUCUGUCCUAUUCCUGUCUCGCCCAGGACAAGAGAGGGAACAGUGACCCGUGCAGGGCUGAAAGGAAGUUUUCUGAGAAGACUAUGAAAUGGAAUAAUAUUUUGGAAACUGUGAUCCAGGGAAUGCCUUAAGAUGUGCUGCAUUUCUCCUGUGUCCCAAUGUAAUCCUGAAACCUUUGGUGCUUAAACUUAAGUGAGAGCAGUGGUCCUUGGGUGCCAAGUAAAGCAGACACUUUGCAAAGCCAUUUGUAAAAAAAGAUUCCUCAUGCUGGUAACUAUCAGGGUUGGAUUCAGUGACCUAGAGGGUGCUUGUCAAUCCCUCAGCUAAACAGAGACACUGCGGUGUAUUUUUCAAGAUAAUAAAGUGUGAAAUGUUCAUCA
RNAcentral lists this long non-coding RNA (634 nucleotides) under Anas platyrhynchos platyrhynchos (common mallard). RNAcentral describes it as "lncRNA (ENSAPLG00000027662.1)". Lineage: Eukaryota; Metazoa; Chordata; Aves; Anseriformes; Anatidae. The record is from RNAcentral.